UACGUAGGGUGCGAGCGUUGUCCGGAAUUAUUGGGCGUAAAGAGCUUGUAGGCGGUUUGUCGCGUCUGCCGUGAAAGCCCAGGGCUUAACCCUGGGUCUGCGGUGGGUACGGGCAGACUAGAGUGUGGUAGGGGAGACUGGAAUUCCUGGUGUAGCGGUGAAAUGCGCAGAUAUCAGGAGGAACACCGAUGGCGAAGGCAGGUCUCUGGGCCACUACUGACGCUGAGAAGCGAAAGCAUGGGGAGCGAACAGG
This 253-nucleotide ribosomal RNA is filed under the name uncultured bacterium. RNAcentral's name for it is "partial 16S ribosomal RNA". It matches the Rfam family "Bacterial small subunit ribosomal RNA", at positions 524 to 776 of the family's 1533-position model. The record is from RNAcentral.